UGCAUUCUUAGAAAACUCAAAUACUUCUUGAACUAUUCAAUUCUGGUUGGCAUGGUUGUAAUCUAUCUUAUUUGCCAUGCACAAUGUGCUCCUGUGUAUACUGCACACCCACAUUUUUGGCCCAAACUUUCAAGAAAAAAAUCCCCCUUUUUAAUUUUUUAAAUUCAAUUAUUUAUUUAUUUGUAUUUAGAAACAAAACCAACUAUUGUAGUCAAGGGUAUUAUUUUGCUUAUGAACAUAGUUAUUGCUUUCUAAAGUUACACUUUUAAUGCAUAAGGAUAAAUAAAAGAAUUAAAAACAUUUAUAUAGAUACAGAAUUAGUACUACCCAUGUAGAAUGUGCAUCCGUAUUUUUCCCUCAAAAAUUUGGGCCAAAAAGUGUGCAUCAUGCACAGCCAAAUACAGGUAAAUGGAAUCUUAUUGCCAUCUAGUGGUCUGGUGGUAUUAGUAACUUCAUUUAGAAACAAAAUGCAGCAUUUUACCAAGAUUGUUGUUUGGGCAGCAAAUGUGAUUUACGGAUACUUUCAUAAGAAAAAAGUAUUUAAUAACUGACGCCAUAUUCUGAGAACAUUUGGGUUUGCAGGAUCACCCCUACAGGAUGUGUGGAAGUGAACAGUGUUAUACAUUGAACUUGAAAGCAGAUUUUCCUGAACUAACUUAAGGCUAUUCCUCAAAGGAGAAACUUGGUUUAAUAAGUAGGGGAAAUGAUGAUAAAGAAAGUUCAACAUGUUCCUUCCUGCAGAACUUCUCAGAGACAUUAAUAGGAUAUUGUGCUUUGUGAAGCUCCAAGAGGGGAUUAUGCGUGAUGUGUUUUCCAGACUCUGGGGGAAGGUACUUUGGGAACACUGCUUUAUUAUCGUCUCACCGUAUAUUAAAACCGUCUAUGAGCUGCCAUGGUUUUCCUGGCUACAGAGCCUUCACUCACCUUCAUACCCAUGUUCUAGACACAGUGGAUUCAAGCAGCAUUGUAAGAAGUCAGGAAUCAUGCCUCACAUUUAUACGGAUCUUAGUUUUGGGGCAGUAAUUUCUUUGAUUUAAAUUAGUAUUGUUUCACAUUGAACACUGUUUUGAUGUAAUGUGCUUUCUUUUGGAUUUGGGGAGUGUGGUCUCCUGCCCCGUGCACAGUUACUUUCACUAAUUGUUGUCAGUGACAGCAGAAAUGACUUCAAGUUUUCUACUUCUGAAACCACCCGGGCCACCCUUCAGACGCCAAGGCCCCGUGAUGGCCCCUGACAGCCCGGAGUUCCCACUCGGACCGGACCCGCCUGUGCUUUGUCCUUAUCCUGGAGGACAUAUGCCCUGGAUUUUUUCAUCUUUGAUAAAUGUUUCCCAUAAAUU
Phyllostomus discolor (pale spear-nosed bat) is the source of this 1337-nucleotide long non-coding RNA. RefSeq lists it as uncharacterized. NCBI's taxonomy places the organism in Eukaryota, Metazoa, Chordata, Mammalia, Chiroptera, Phyllostomidae. The record is from RefSeq and is a predicted model, not a curated record. The transcript has 2 exons.